GUUAGAGUGGAUUUAUUCUGGGUUCCUCCAGACAAGGUGGUUGCUGUGUCCCAAGCACUUCCUACGCUGGCUGCUCAACCUGCAAUGUAGGAGUAUGGGCCAGGUACAAGGGUUCCUUCAGACCCAGGUUCCCUGGAGGGCAGAGGGCCAGUGGGUGGUGUCUUUCUCUUUCUGUGUGGUUCAUCGAGGUUUUUGAGGCUUACUGUCACUCCACAAUGGUGUGGGGGGUGGAGGCAGUAUUUCUCCCCUCCUGAGUAGCUCAC
RNAcentral lists this long non-coding RNA (263 nucleotides) under Chinchilla lanigera (long-tailed chinchilla). RNAcentral describes it as "lncRNA (ENSCLAG00000022224.1)". Lineage: Eukaryota; Metazoa; Chordata; Mammalia; Rodentia; Chinchillidae. The record is from RNAcentral.